Molecule: ribosomal RNA, 327 nt
Filed under: uncultured eukaryote
Lineage: Eukaryota
Description: partial 18S ribosomal RNA
Rfam family: Eukaryotic small subunit ribosomal RNA
Source: RNAcentral
CCCUUAGAUGUCCGGGGCCGCACGCGCGCUACAAUGACAGUAUCAACAAGUAUUCCCACCUGGUCUGAAAAGAUUGGGAAAUCUUUGAAUUACUGUCUCCACAGGGAUUGAGGUUUGCAACUAUCCCUCAUGAACGAGGAAUUCCCAGUAGGCGCAAGUCAUCAGCUUGCGUCGAUUACGUCCCUGCCCUUUGUACACACCGCCCGUCGCUACUACCGAUUGAGUGGAUUAGUGAGGCCCUCGGAUUGUGGACUUUGUGACGUAAGUCACAUCGUUCGCGAAAAGUGGGUCAAACUUGUUCAUUUAGAGGAAGUAAAAGUCGUAACA